UGCCUUGAAGAUCGGAGUGCUUGCACUCUGUGAAACAAGAUACAGGCUAGCGGCGGACGGGUGAGUAACACGUGGGUAACCUGCCCAAGAGAUCGGGAUAACACCUGGAAACAGAUGCUAAUACCGGAUAACAACAGAUGAUGCCUAUCAACUGUUUAAAAGAUGGUUCUGCUAUCACUCUUGGAUGGACCUGCGGUGCAUUAGCUAGUUGGUAGGGUAACGGCCUACCAAGGCGAUGAUGCAUAGCCGAGUUGAGAGGCUGAUCGGCCACAUUGGGACUGAGACACGGCCCAAACUCCUACGGGAGGCAGCAGUAGGGAAUCUUCCACAAUGGACGCAAGUCUGAUGGAGCAACGCCGCGUGAGUGAAGAAGGGUUUCGGCUCGUAAAGCUCUGUUGUUGGUGAAGAAGGACAGGGGUAGUAACUGACCUUUGUUUGACGGUAAU
Molecule: ribosomal RNA, 446 nt
Filed under: uncultured Lactobacillus sp.
Lineage: Bacteria; Bacillati; Bacillota; Bacilli; Lactobacillales; Lactobacillaceae
Description: bacterial SSU rRNA
Rfam family: Bacterial small subunit ribosomal RNA
Source: RNAcentral